Molecule: transfer RNA, 81 nt
Organism: Strongyloides ratti
Lineage: Eukaryota; Metazoa; Nematoda; Chromadorea; Rhabditida; Strongyloididae
Rfam family: tRNA
About the family: Transfer RNA (tRNA) molecules are approximately 80 nucleotides in length.
Source: Rfam
GGCGAAGUGGCCGAGUGGUUAAGGCGUCAGUUUUAGGCACUGAUAUCUUCGGAUGCGUGGGUUCAAACCCCACCUUCGUCA